Long non-coding RNA from Bolinopsis microptera, 432 nucleotides. RefSeq lists it as uncharacterized. Lineage: Eukaryota; Metazoa; Ctenophora; Tentaculata; Lobata; Bolinopsidae. The record is from RefSeq and is a predicted model, not a curated record. The transcript is spliced from 2 exons.
AUCCCUCUACUCUAGCAGGAAUCCAAGAAGGAAAUAAUAUGUUGAAAACACUCUUUCUACUAAGCCUUAUCCUGCUAACCUCCACUCUGUCUGUUGAGAAAAGAGGAGUUGAGGACUGUCACUAUAGAGGUGUGUCUCACCCCCUUGGUAGCAGCUGGUGUGAUCCGUUGCGGUGUGGCUUCUGUCGGUGUGAUGGCCAACUUGCUGUUUCGUGUGACAAUACGUCAUGCGACGGAGUAAAAGGAGAAGAAUUCUGCUCAAGACACGGAUAGAAAGUCAAACUCCACAUUCCAAAAUUCAAUGAACGCGUCCUAUACUUUGAUUAAAAAAGCUGUUAAAACAUUUUUGUAAUAAUUCUAGAUUCUAAUAGUGACAUAAUUUAGAGAUUUAACAAUAUUUUCAAAAAGUUGAUAACUUGAGUUUUGAUGAAAA